Molecule: ribosomal RNA, 301 nt
Filed under: uncultured bacterium
Lineage: Bacteria
Description: partial 16S ribosomal RNA
Rfam family: Bacterial small subunit ribosomal RNA
Source: RNAcentral
CAGCCGCCACGGGAAUACGUAGGGUGCGAGCGUUAAUCGGAAUUACUGGGCGUAAAGCGUGCGCAGGCGGUUUUGUAAGACAGGCGUGAAAUCCCCGGGCUCAACCUGGGAAUGGCGCUUGUGACUGCAAAGCUAGAGUGCGGCAGAGGGGGAUGGAAUUCCGCGUGUAGCAGUGAAAUGCGUAGAUAUGCGGAGGAACACCGAUGGCGAAGGCAAUCCCCUGGGCCUGCACUGACGCUCAUGCACGAAAGCGUGGGGAGCAAACAGGAUUAGAUACCCGUGUAGUCCCUGUCUCUUAUAC